CGAAGGUGGCAAGCGUUACUCGGAAUUACUAGGCGUAAAGGGCAGGUAGGUGGCUCGAUAAGUCUGUUGUGAAAGCUCCUGGCUUAACUGGGAGAGGUCAACAGAUACUGUUGAGCUUGAGUAUGGGAGAGGGUACUGGAAUUCCCGGUGUAGCGGUGAAAUGCGCAGAGAUCGGGAGGAACACCAAUGGCGAAAGCAGGUGCCUGGACCAUUACUGACACUCAGCUGCGAAAGCUAGGGGAGCAAACAGGAUUAGAUACCCUGGUAGUCCUAGCCGUAAACGAUGCACAUUAGGCGUGGGGGGUAUCGACCCCCUCUGUGCCGACGCAAACGCAUUAAAUGUGCCGCCUGGGGAGUACGGCCGCAAGGUUG
RNAcentral lists this ribosomal RNA (372 nucleotides) under uncultured organism. Its description in RNAcentral is "bacterial SSU rRNA". It matches the Rfam family "Bacterial small subunit ribosomal RNA", at positions 526 to 896 of the family's 1533-position model. The record is from RNAcentral.